GGCCCUUUAGUUUAGUGGUAGAAUUGUUCACUCGUAAUGAAUAGGCACGGGUUCGAUUCCCGUAGGGGCCU
Molecule: transfer RNA, 71 nt
Filed under: Vairimorpha apis BRL 01
Lineage: Eukaryota; Fungi; Microsporidia; Nosematidae
Description: tRNA-Thr (CGT) (tRNA-Thr-CGT-1-1)
Rfam family: tRNA
About the family: Transfer RNA (tRNA) molecules are approximately 80 nucleotides in length. Their secondary structure includes four short double-helical elements and three loops (D, anti-codon, and T loops).
Source: Rfam by way of RNAcentral